RNAcentral lists this ribosomal RNA (468 nucleotides) under uncultured bacterium. Its description in RNAcentral is "partial 16S ribosomal RNA". It matches the Rfam family "Bacterial small subunit ribosomal RNA", at positions 28 to 507 of the family's 1533-position model. The record is from RNAcentral.
GAUGAACGCUGGCGGCGUGCUUAACACAUGCAAGUCGAACGGAAAGGCCCUGCUUUUGUGGGGUGCUCGAGUGGCGAACGGGUGAGUAACACGUGAGUAACCUGCACUUGACUUUGGGAUAACUUCAGGAAACUGGGGCUAAUACCGGAUAGGAGCUCCUGCUGCAUGGUGGGGAUUGGAAAGUUUCGGCGGUUGGGGAUGGACUCGCGGCUUAUCAGCUUGUUGGUGGGGUAGUGGCUUACCAAGGCUUUGACGGGUAGCCGGCCUGAGAGGGUGACCGGCCACAUGGGUACUGAGAGACGGCCCAGACGGCAACGGGAGGCAGCAGGGGGGAGUAUGGCACAAUAGGCGGGAGCCUGAUGCGGCAGCGCCGCGAGCGGGAUGACGGCCUUCGGGGUGUGAACCGCUUUCGCCUGUGACGAAGCGGGAGUGACGGUAAUGGGUAAAGAAGCACCGGCUAACUACGUG